RNAcentral lists this ribosomal RNA (768 nucleotides) under Pseudomonas aeruginosa. Its description in RNAcentral is "bacterial SSU rRNA". It matches the Rfam family "Bacterial small subunit ribosomal RNA", at positions 59 to 818 of the family's 1533-position model. The record is from RNAcentral. Lineage: Bacteria; Pseudomonadati; Pseudomonadota; Gammaproteobacteria; Pseudomonadales; Pseudomonadaceae.
CAGUCGAGCGGAUGAAGGGAGCUUGCUCCUGGAUUCAGCGGCGGACGGGUGAGUAAUGCCUAGGAAUCUGCCUGGUAGUGGGGGAUAACGUCCGGAAACGGGCGCUAAUACCGCAUACGUCCUGAGGGAGAAAGUGGGGGAUCUUCGGACCUCACGCUAUCAGAUGAGCCUAGGUCGGAUUAGCUAGUUGGUGGGGUAAAGGCCUACCAAGGCGACGAUCCGUAACUGGUCUGAGAGGAUGAUCAGUCACACUGGAACUGAGACACGGUCCAGACUCCUACGGGAGGCAGCAGUGGGGAAUAUUGGACAAUGGGCGAAAGCCUGAUCCAGCCAUGCCGCGUGUGUGAAGAAGGUCUUCGGAUUGUAAAGCACUUUAAGUUGGGAGGAAGGGCAGUAAGUUAAUACCUUGCUGUUUUGACGUUACCAACAGAAUAAGCACCGGCUAACUUCGUGCCAGCAGCCGCGGUAAUACGAAGGGUGCAAGCGUUAAUCGGAAUUACUGGGCGUAAAGCGCGCGUAGGUGGUUCAGCAAGUUGGAUGUGAAAUCCCCGGGCUCAACCUGGGAACUGCAUCCAAAACUACUGAGCUAGAGUACGGUAGAGGGUGGUGGAAUUUCCUGUGUAGCGGUGAAAUGCGUAGAUAUAGGAAGGAACACCAGUGGCGAAGGCGACCACCUGGCACUGAUACUGACACUGACGUGCGAAAGCGUGGGGGAGCAAACACGAUUAGAUACCCUGAUAGUGCCACGCCCGUAAACGAUGUCGACUA